Molecule: ribosomal RNA, 929 nt
Filed under: uncultured Bacillota bacterium
Lineage: Bacteria; Bacillati; Bacillota
Description: bacterial SSU rRNA
Rfam family: Bacterial small subunit ribosomal RNA
Source: RNAcentral
GAUGAACGCUGGCGGCAUGCCUAAGACAUGCAAGUCGAACGAGAUGGCCCACAGAUUCAGAAGGAAGAUAGAGUGCUUGCACGAAGUUAGAAUUUUGAUGACGUGGAAAUUCCAUCUAGUGGCAAACGGGUGAAUAACACGUGGGUAACCUACCUCUAAGUUGGGGAUAACAGUUGGAAACGACUGAUAGUACCGAAUAAGCUCUACGGAGUAAAGAAGCAAACAAGCUUCGCUAAGAGAUGGGCCUGCGGCGUAUUAGCUAGUUGGUAGGGUAAGAGCCUACCAAGGCGACGAUGCGUAGCCGAACUGAGAGGUUGAUCGGCCACACUGGGACUGAGACACGGCCCAGACUCCUACGGGAGACAGCAGUUAGGAAUAUUCGUCAAUGGGGGAAACCCUGAACGAGCAAUGCCGCGUGAAUGAAGAAGGCCCUAUGGGUUGUAAAAUUCUGUUGUAUGGAAAGAAAUGUAAAGUUAGGAAAUGAACUUUACUUGACGGUACCAUUCAAGAAAGCCACGGCUAACUACGUGCCAGCAGCCGCGGUAAUACGUAGGUGGCGAGCGUUAUCCGGAUUUAUUGGGCGUAAAGGGUGCGUAGGCGGUAUGUUAAGUAUAAAAUAAAAGCCCGAAGCUUAACUUCGGUUCGUUUUAUAAACUGGCAAACUAGAGUACGGUAGAGGCAAAUGGAAUUCCUAGUGUAGUGGUAAAAUGCGUAGAUAUUAGGAGGAACACCAGUGGCGAAGGCGAUUUGCUGGGCUGUAACUGACGCUGAGGCACGAAAGCGUGGGGAGCAAAUAGGAUUAGAUACCCUAGUAGUCCACGCCGUAAACGAUGAGUACUAAGUGUCGGGAAACCGGUGCUGAAGUUAACACAUUAAGUACUCCGCCUGAGUAGUACGGUCGCAAGGCUGCAACUCAAAUGAAUUGACGG